GCUCUGGUGGCCUAGUAGUUAGAGCAUAUGCUUCAGAUGCAGGAGGCUGUGGGUUCAAUCCCUGGCCAAAUCA
This is a non-coding RNA of Potamilus streckersoni, 73 nucleotides long. Lineage: Eukaryota; Metazoa; Mollusca; Bivalvia; Unionida; Unionidae. The record is from the annotation of a GenBank genome assembly.